Non-coding RNA from Symsagittifera roscoffensis, 73 nucleotides. NCBI's taxonomy places the organism in Eukaryota, Metazoa, Xenacoelomorpha, Acoela, Convolutidae. The record is from the annotation of a RefSeq genome assembly.
GCCCUGCUAGCUCAGUCGGUAGAGCGUUGGACUUGUAAUCCGACAAUCAAGGGUUCGGUUCCCUUGUCGGGCG